GAUGAACGCUGGCGGCGUGCCUAAUACAUGCAAGUCGAGCGAACGGACGAGAAGCUUGCUUCUCUGAUGUUAGCGGCGGACGGGUGAGUAACACGUGGAUAACCUACCUAUAAGACUGGGAUAACUUCGGGAAACCGGAGCUAAUACCGGAUAAUAUUUUGAACCGCAUGGUUCAAAAGUGAAAGACGGUCUUGCUGUCACUUAUAGAUGGAUCCGCGCUGCAUUAGCUAGUUGGUAAGGUAACGGCUUACCAAGGCAACGAUGCGUAGCCGACCUGAGAGGGUGGUCGGCCACACUGGAACUGAGACACGGUCCAGACUCCUACGGGAGGCAGCAGUAGGGAAUCUUCCGCAAUGGGCGAAAGCCUGACGGAGCAACGCCGCGUGAGUGAUGAAGGUCUUCGGAUCGUAAAACUCUGUUAUUAGGGAAGAACAUAUGUGUAAGUAACUGUGCACAUCUUGACGGUACCUAAUCAGAAAGCCACGGCUAACUACGUG
This 497-nucleotide ribosomal RNA is filed under the name uncultured bacterium. Its description in RNAcentral is "partial 16S ribosomal RNA". It matches the Rfam family "Bacterial small subunit ribosomal RNA", at positions 28 to 507 of the family's 1533-position model. The record is from RNAcentral.